This 1470-nucleotide long non-coding RNA is filed under the name Salmo salar (Atlantic salmon). RNAcentral's name for it is "lncRNA (ENSSSAG00000083200.1)". Lineage: Eukaryota; Metazoa; Chordata; Actinopteri; Salmoniformes; Salmonidae. The record is from RNAcentral.
GGAAGAUAUUUGGAAGUCACGCGUGAUAAGGUUAAAACAUAAAUCUCAAAAACAACUUCCUAUUGCUGGAUUCUAACAUGAAAACUUUGUCACCAGAGGCAGAUGCUGACGCCCAUCUGCCAUCCCCAUCACCCUAGCAAAACCAAAACCUACUUGAAGAUAACAGCACUCACUGUUGCCCAUAGUGGCCGGUUUCCACUUCAUCUCACGACGUCCUCAGAGAUGGAUGGACGUCGAAUACUGACUUGUAUCACGGGUAACCUGGCUGCUCCUCCAAGCCUUCUCACCAAGAUGACAAUUCAUUAGUAAUUGACCACAGCAGCUUUGGUUAUGAAACAUUAACGUCCUGCUGGUGAAUUACUGAUUAAUGAUAUGAAGCGAUCGGAAAUCAGACAUAGACUACAGAUGAGGCCAUUGUGAGGAGGUGACUGAAGGAGAGGAACACUGUAAGGGGUGAGAGUAGCACUCAGAAUGCUCCCUCCAUCCCUUUAAACUCCAUUGCCUAAGAAUGCUCCGUUCUUUCUCUCACAACACAGAUCCUCUGUGGAAUGCCAUUACCUCACUCAUACAACCUCUCCCUCCAUGCUCUGAUUCUCUGUGUCUCUCUCUCUGUCUCUGCUCUGUCUCUAGAUCUCAGUCUCUGUUGUGACACUGCUCUGUCUGUCUGUGAGAGAGGAGGCAGGAGGGAGACUUGUCUUUAGAAGUUGCAUCAUUGGAUCAAACUAGCACCCUGAUGAAGACUAGCAUGGGAAAACCGUUUUUGUAUUGAUGGUUGAAUUGUGGCUGUGUCUGUGUUACACACAGAUAGGAGCAAUAUCUGACAGUACAUUUUCAGUGAAAGGUGAUUUAUGAGUGUAGAUACAUUAGGUGUAUGGUGGGAAGCACAGAAUAUAAUUACUGAGGGAAUGAAAUAUUUUCACAUGUAUUACAUUUAGAGUUCAAAAUGUUAACACAAACAUUUUCACAUGUGAGGAAAUAACAUGUUUUCACCUCAAAUGUGAAUUGCAGUUUCACAUGUGAAAAACAUUAAUAUGUGAAAAAUCUCACUUUUACAUGUGGAAUUCAAUCACAUGUGAAAAUCUAAUAUUUUAUUUAUUUAUUUUUAUUUAUUUCACCUUUAUUUAACCAGGUAGGCAAGUUGAGAACAAGUUCUCAUUUACAAUUGCGACCUGGCCAAGAUAAAGCAAAGCAGUUCGACAACAUACAAAAACACAGAGUUACACAUGGAGUAAAACAACAUACAAUCAAUGAUGCAGUAGAAGAAAAAAAAAAAGACUAUAUACAAUGUGAGCAAAUGAUGUGAGAUAAGGGAGGUAAAGGCAAAAAAAUGCCAUGGUGGCAAAGUAAAUAAAGUAUAGCAAGAAAAACACUGGAAUGGUAGAUUUGUAGUUUGAAGAAAGUUCAGAGAUAAAAUAUAAAUAAUAUGGUGCAAAGGAGCAAAAUAAAUUAAAUAAAUAAAUACAGUAGGGG